This 301-nucleotide ribosomal RNA is filed under the name uncultured bacterium. Its description in RNAcentral is "partial 16S ribosomal RNA". It matches the Rfam family "Bacterial small subunit ribosomal RNA", at positions 509 to 807 of the family's 1533-position model. The record is from RNAcentral.
CAGCCGCCGCGGGAAUACGAAGGGGGCUAGCGUUGCUCGGAAUGACUGGGCGUAAAGGGCGCGUAGGCGGUUUUGACAGUCAGAUGUGAAAUUCCUGGGCUUAACCUGGGGGCUGCAUUUGAGACGUCAAGACUAGAGUGUGAGAUAGGGUUGUGGAAUUCCCAGUGUAGAGGCGAAAUUCGUAGAUAUUGGGAAGAACACCGGUGGCGAAGGCGGCAACCUGGCUCAUUACUGACGCUGAGGCGCGAAAUCGUGGGGAGCAAACAGGAUUAGAUACCCCCGUAGUCCCUGUCUCUUAUAC